This is a long non-coding RNA of Oryzias latipes (Japanese medaka), 282 nucleotides long. RefSeq lists it as uncharacterized. The record is from RefSeq and is a predicted model, not a curated record. NCBI's taxonomy places the organism in Eukaryota, Metazoa, Chordata, Actinopteri, Beloniformes, Adrianichthyidae.
AGGAGCCACAGGAUCAUCAGUCUUCGCCAGUCCGUUGCCCCUGAUGGAAUCCAGUACCACGAGUGGUCGCCUGAAUCAGCUUCCAGCCGGUCUCGCCAAUCUGUCCUCCCCUGCGGUCCCACCACGAGCCUCUGCCACCUCAAGUAUCCCAACCUUCGCCAGCAUCUGCCUACGGAGAAAUCCACCAGUGACGCCGCUAACCUCUGUCUCCAGUUUGGAACCGACAUCCAGUCCUGCUCACGCUCUGCUCUCUGCUCCUCGAAUUAAAUCUCUUACCUGCCA